AACGUAGGAGGCGAGCGUUAUCCGGAGUUACUGGGCGUAAAGAGCGUGUAGGCGGGUAUGCAAGUUUGGCGUGAAAGCUCCCGGCUAAACUGGGAGAGUGCGCUGAAGACUGCGUAUCUAGAGGCAAGUAGAGGGACGUGGAAUUCCGGGUGUAGUGGUGAAAUGCGUAGAGAUCCGGAGGAACACCAGUGGCGAAGGCGACGUCCUGGGCUUGACCUGACGCUGAGACGCGACAGCACGGGGAGCGAACGGG
This 253-nucleotide ribosomal RNA is filed under the name uncultured bacterium. RNAcentral's name for it is "partial 16S ribosomal RNA". It matches the Rfam family "Bacterial small subunit ribosomal RNA", at positions 524 to 776 of the family's 1533-position model. The record is from RNAcentral.